GCAAAGCCCUCACAUUGGGAAGUUCUGCGUUGUGUCUAACUUGAUUCUCCAUGAUUGAAGCCCAUUAUUUCUCCCUUCUCAUCUUUCACAUCUUUGCAUAUGGUGGAACCCAUCUCUAAUGCUGGUGUUAUAGAGACCUGUUCAUGAUGUUCAAGUUCCAGAAGAAGGAAGUUGGAAGAUCCGGCAACAUUUAGUCGACAGUCUUGGAUAUCAGUAAUGGAGCGGAGCUGUGUAGGAGCUGUGUACCUAAGAUAUGUAGCUGGGCAAGUCCAGGCCUUGUAGACCUGUGGGGUGCAGUCCAACAACUGGCGGAGCAGCCAGGAGACCGAGGAAACCCCCGAGAGCGCCGAGAUGUUGGAAAACAAGGACGGGGAAUGGAAAGUUGCAGGGGCUGAAAGGUCCCGGGGUAGCCAUCCCCUCGUAUGCGGGGCCCUGUGGUGGCUGUCCUUGAGGGAUGGGGGCCACCAAGAGAGUGAAGUCCCUGGUGUGGUACCACAGUGAGUCUUGUUACCAGGUUGGCUUUUAUCUUGGGUGUGUGCGAGUGCCUUGUCCACGAAUGCAAGUCCUGUUCUCUUUUUCUGGUUUUGACCUUUAUCAAAGGGUCCUAGUUGUUUGAAUGCUGAUUCAUGUUUUUCUGAAGGUGAGGCAAGUGAAUGUGCCAACCUGAUGUCAUUGCCCCUAUAACUGGUAACCUACGUACCCUCCUUCCCGGCCAGGAGUGAAAACUGCCUCCUGGCACAGAGGGGCGUUGCUCCAGGACUUUGCUUCAGCCGUGUAAGAUCCCUCAUCCAUUAAAUCAUUGAUGUCUCUGUCACUGACUCCAGGCUUUUUGUUUGGACUUGAGGUUGGGCAAGUACAGGCCCUGAAGGCCUAUGGGGUAUAGCCGGACCGUUCCCCUGGCUCACCACCCUCCCAGCACUUCUACAUAUUCUGCCACCUGGAGGCACCCAGGACCCCAAACUAUCGCUUAUGUAUGGAGCCUUCAUUACUUAGGCAUGGUUGAUCAAAUCAUUGGCCAUUCAUGAUUAACUCAACCUCAAGCCCUUCUCCUUUCCUUGGAGGUCAGGUCAGGGGCUGAAAGUUCCAGCCCUCUAAAACGUUGGUCCCCCUGGCAACCAGCUGCCAUCCUAAGGGGUUUUCCAAUAGUCACCUCAUUAACAAACUCAGGUGUGGUUUAUAGGGAUUAGUGAUGAAUAACAAAAGAUGGUCCUUUCCCCUUUAAUUCUCUUUUGCUGCUACUGCUAAGUCGCUUCAGUCGUGUCCGACUCUGUGCGACCCCACAGACGGCAGCCCACCAG
Bubalus bubalis (water buffalo) is the source of this 1298-nucleotide long non-coding RNA. RefSeq lists it as uncharacterized. The transcript has 3 exons. The record is from RefSeq and is a predicted model, not a curated record. Lineage: Eukaryota; Metazoa; Chordata; Mammalia; Artiodactyla; Bovidae.